CCAUGGAAUCUCGCAUGGAGUGGUAUCGCAGUAGUGGAUGCCAAAAUUAGUUAGUGGAUGCCAAAAUUACAGGUAAAUUCAUCCACUAGAUGUCCUGUAGACAUCCUGCACUGUCAUCUAGUGAAUCUGAAAAUCUAGUUCUUCAAGGCACAACCGAAUUCAACAGGCCCUAAUUGGAGAAAGACAUCUGGUGGACAAAUAUUCUACUACUUAAAUAUUUGAUCUAUUGUUAUCAUAUAACGUGUGAUACAACUGAUACAUAGAAGUAAUAAGUGAUAUCCAAGUUUGUGAUCUCCCCUAUUUUUUGUGUUUCCAAGGAUAAUCGAUACAGAAAUAAUGGCAAGCUACUGAACCUUAAAACUGUGAGCAAUCCACAUCAAUCUUUUCCACCAUGCCAUUGCUAACCAAUGUUGUUUUUAAACUACUAUCAAGCUUGUGAGACAAAAGCAAAAAAAGAUAAUGCUUGAGGUUGGUCAACAAUAACAGAAAUUUCUGCCAACUUGCCUACUGCUGAUUCUAGUACUUCUUAUUGGUUCAUGGCCUCAUGUUGUAGUUUAAUGGUAUACCUACACGACAAGUGCUGAAUAGUUAUUCCGUUUGUGGAGUACUGUCAAACAUCACCAUUUCUGAAUCCUUCCCCUCAUCUCUACUUAGCACAAGUAUUUCCAGACUUCAACAACAUAACCAAAUUUUGGACUGCAAAAUUUUAUUAUCUUUCUGCUGCUAAAUUAACACCUAAACCUAACAAGUGCAGCACAUUCAUCUUAGCAUGUCGAGAAUCUACCGUAACCUUGCCAGAAGCUUUCUCCCCAUCCCUACUUAGCCAGCUUGCAAGCAUAGGGUUCAACACCAUCAUCCCAUUUGGACUGCAGAUCUUCCUUCUACGCAAAAUCGCCGUCGGGACUAUUUCUGCAUUCAUCUUCUCCAGUGGGCCACACAUUUCAGAACUACUCUGUCUUCUUCGGCCUUCCCGUACAAAGUCAACCAUUGGGAUUCCGGCCUUGCUGUCUUCUUCCUUCGCCUUCUCUUCAUCGCUCUUCGUCGACGCCUUCUCCUCAUCGCUCUUCGUCGACGCCUUCUCCUCAUCGCUCUUCGUCGACGCCUUCUCCUCAUCGCUCUUCGUCGACGCCUUCUCCUCAUCGCUCUUCGUCGACGCCUUCUCCUCAUCGCUGUUUUCGUCUACGCCAAUGCCUUUGCCGCAUCGCCAUCCUCUAGCCAUCUAUCCGUAAGACCAAAUAGGGUGCAGCUCAGCAGAAAGCCCAAGGCGAUGGAAGCAGUUCAUCGUGGAACGUCGCCCUGGUAUUGUUUUCUUUUGUAUUGUAUUGUAUUGUAUCGUAUCAUGUAAGUUAACCCGUUGGCUGCCACCCCGUUUGCGUCCCAUUUUUUUUGUAGCUUUUAGGGACCGGGCGCUGUUCUGCCCCGUGGCCAGGGGGGGAACAGUCGCCGCGCCUUUAGGCGCCGUAGGCAAUGCACCAGUAGGGACUCUCUUUGUCGGCGCGGUGAUAGAUUCCUGGGGUGUGCAUUCCCGGAAUGGUUUCUAUCACCGUGUCAGCCCGGACUUGUCUUCGGACAAGUCCCACCUUGUUCGUGGAUCCAUCUGACGCGAAGCGUAGCAACUGUAGUAAAGCAACCUACGGGUUGCAUGGCCUGGCAGCCAACGGGUUAACUAGUUAGUUGUAUGUUGUAUGUAUUUAUAUAUGUAUUAAUUUAUGUUGUGUUAUGUAAAAAAGUGGUGGAAUUGAUGGGUGGAGGUGGGACAAUAAAAAUAAUUCCUGUUAA
Daphnia magna is the source of this 1779-nucleotide RNA transcript. It is a transcript of the gene named putative protein TPRXL, with no coding region annotated. The record is from RefSeq and is a predicted model, not a curated record. Lineage: Eukaryota; Metazoa; Arthropoda; Branchiopoda; Diplostraca; Daphniidae. The transcript has 5 exons.